CCUACAGGAGGCAGCAGUGAGGAAUAUUGGUCAAUGGACGGAAGUCUGAACCAGCCAUGCCGCGUGCAGGAAGACGGCUCUAUGAGUUUUAAACUGCUUUUGUACAAGGGUAAACCUGAAUACGUGUAUUCAGCUGAAAGUACUUUACGAAUAAGGAUCGGCUAACUCCGUGCCAGCAGCCGCGGUAAUACGGAGGUUCCAAGCGUUAUCCGGAUUUAUUGGGUGUAAAGGGUGCGUAGGCGGAUUGAUAAGUUAGUGGUGAAAUGUCCGAGCUUAACUCGGGAACUGCCUCUAAUACUAUUGAUCUAGAGAGUAGGUGAGGUAGGCGGAAUGUAUGGUGUAGCGGGGAAAUGCUUAGAGAUCAUACAGAACACCGAUGGCGAAGGCAGCGGGCCGGGCCGCCACUGACGCUGAGGCGCGAAAGCGCGGGGAUCGAACAGGAUUAGAUACCCCAGUAGUC
This 460-nucleotide ribosomal RNA is filed under the name uncultured bacterium. Its description in RNAcentral is "partial 16S ribosomal RNA". It matches the Rfam family "Bacterial small subunit ribosomal RNA", at positions 338 to 795 of the family's 1533-position model. The record is from RNAcentral.